UCUGGGGGCCAGCUGGUGUGCGGUGCAGCACAGCACAGUGCGACAGAGGCCCCGCCGCAAGUCACCUGGGGAUUGAGCCUGGGGCCCCCUUUUUGGCUGGGAGCCUGGAAUUUAAGCCCCUAAAGCC
RNAcentral lists this small nucleolar RNA (127 nucleotides) under Pelusios castaneus (West African mud turtle). RNAcentral describes it as "Small nucleolar RNA ACA64 (ENSPCEG00000011698.1)". It matches the Rfam family "Small nucleolar RNA ACA64". The record is from Rfam by way of RNAcentral. Lineage: Eukaryota; Metazoa; Chordata; Testudines; Pelomedusidae.